Molecule: ribosomal RNA, 415 nt
Filed under: uncultured bacterium
Lineage: Bacteria
Description: bacterial SSU rRNA
Rfam family: Bacterial small subunit ribosomal RNA
Source: RNAcentral
UGAGGAAUAUUGGGCAAUGGAGGCAACUCUGACCCAGCCAUGCCGCGUGAGUGAAGAAGGUUUUCGGAUUGUAAAGCUCUUUCGCACGGGACGAUGAUGACGGUACCGUGAUAAGAAGCCCCGGCUAACUUCGUGCCAGCAGCCGCGGUAAUACGAAGGGGGCAAGCGUUGUUCGGAAUUACUGGGCGUAAAGGGAGUGUAGGCGGUUAUGUAAGAUAGCGGUGAAAUGCCGGGGCUCAACCUCGGAAUUGCCGUUAUAACUAUGUAACUAGAAUGAUAGAGAGGAUAGCGGAAUACCCAGUGUAGAGGUGAAAUUCGUAGAUAUUGGGUAGAACACCGGUGGCGAAGGCGGCUAUCUGGCUAUAAAUUGACGCUGAGGCUCGAAAGCAUGGGGAUCAAACAGGAUUAGAUACCC